RNAcentral lists this ribosomal RNA (503 nucleotides) under uncultured bacterium. RNAcentral's name for it is "partial 16S ribosomal RNA". It matches the Rfam family "Bacterial small subunit ribosomal RNA", at positions 30 to 523 of the family's 1533-position model. The record is from RNAcentral.
AUUGAACGCUGGCGGCAGGCUUAACACAUGCAAGUCGAGCGGGGUGAUGGUGCUUGCACUAUCACUUAGCGGCGGACGGGUGAGUAAUGCUUAGGAAUCUGCCUAUUAGUGGGGGACAACAUCUCGAAAGGGAUGCUAAUACCGCAUACGUCCUACGGGAGAAAGCAGGGGAUCACUUGUGACCUUGCGCUAAUAGAUGAGCCUAAGUCGGAUUAGCUAGUUGGUGGGGUAAAGGCCUACCAAGGCGACGAUCUGUAGCGGGUCUGAGAGGAUGAUACGCCACACUGGGACUGAGACACGGCCCAGACUCCUACGGGAGGCAGCAGUGGGGAAUAUUGGACAAUGGGGGGAACCCUGAUCCAGCCAUGCCGGGUGUGUGAAGAAGGCCUUAUGGUUGUAAAGCACUUUAAGCGAGGAGGAGGCUCUUUUGGUUAAUACCCAAGAUGAGUGGACGUUACUCGCAGAAUAAGCACCGGCUAACUCUGUGCCAGCAGCCGCAGUAA